This is a long non-coding RNA of Ixodes scapularis (black-legged tick), 216 nucleotides long. RefSeq lists it as uncharacterized. Lineage: Eukaryota; Metazoa; Arthropoda; Arachnida; Ixodida; Ixodidae. The record is from RefSeq and is a predicted model, not a curated record. The transcript is spliced from 3 exons.
GUGCCUACUAUUCUUGGCUCCGGGCGUAACUCAAACGAGCUAAAACGCAACAGAAAGAUGCCAGUGAAGCAAGUUUCAGCCUUUCUGUCAGACACCGUGCGGACAGACUCUCCCGCCUCUGACUGCCACAAGACCUUGAGCCCAGAAAGCGCAACAGGUUACAGUGAAAGAAACCCUGACGGAGCUUUCUCGGGCUGCACAGUUGAGACUCCGAGC